CCUACGGGAGGCAGCAGUGAGGAAUAUUGGUCAAUGGGCGCGAGCCUGAACCAGCCAAGUCGCGUGAGGGAGGACGGCCCUACGGGUUGUAAACCUCUUUUGCCGGGGAGCAACGGGCGUCACGUGUGGCGCCCCUGAUAGUACCCGGAGAAAAAGCCUCGGCUAACUCCGUGCCAGCAGCCGCGGUAAUACGGAGGAUGCGAGCGUUAUCCGGAUUUAUUGGGUUUAAAGGGUGCGUAGGCGGAUCGUUAAGUCAGUGGUCAAAUUGAGGGGCUCAACCCCUUCCCGCCAUUGAAACUGGCGCUCUUGAGUGGAAGAGAAGUAUGCGGAAUGCGUGGUGUAGCGGUGAAAUGCAUAGAUAUCACGCAGAACCCCGAUUGCGAAGGCAGCAUGCCGGCUUCCGACUGACGCUGAAGCACGAAAGCGUGGGGAUCGAACAGGAUUAGAUACCCCAGUAGUC
Molecule: ribosomal RNA, 460 nt
Filed under: uncultured bacterium
Lineage: Bacteria
Description: partial 16S ribosomal RNA
Rfam family: Bacterial small subunit ribosomal RNA
Source: RNAcentral